GUAGGGAAUAUUGGGCAAUGGAUGCAAGUCUGACCCAGCCAUCCCGCGUGCCGGAAGAAGGCCCUCAGGGUUGUAAACGGCUUUUGACGGUGAAGAAUCGACAGGAUGCGUCCUGUUUUGACGGUAGCCGUUGAAUAAGCACCGGCUAACUCCGUGCCAGCAGCCGCGGUAAUACGGAGGGUGCGAGCGUUGUCCGGAUUUAUUGGGUUUAAAGGGUGCGUAGGCUGGAAGGUCAGUCAGCGGUGAAAAGCUUUCGCUUAACGAUAGUCUUGCCGCAGAUACUUCCUUUCUUGGAUGAGGAGGAGGCCACUGGAACGGAUGGUGUAGCGGUGAAAUGCAUAGAUAUCAUCCAGAACACCGAUUGAGAAGGCAGGUGGCUGUACCUUAAUCGACGCUGAUGCACGAAAGCAUGGGGAGCAAACAGGAUUAGAUACCCCAGUAGUCC
Molecule: ribosomal RNA, 445 nt
Filed under: uncultured bacterium
Lineage: Bacteria
Description: partial 16S ribosomal RNA
Rfam family: Bacterial small subunit ribosomal RNA
Source: RNAcentral